GUAGGGUGCGAGCGUUAAUCGGAAUUACUGGGCGUAAAGCGUGCGCAGGCGGUUCGUUAAGUCUGAUGUGAAAGCCCCGGGCUCAACCUGGGAAUGGCAUUGGAAACUGGCGAGCUGGAGUAUGGCAGAGGGGGGUGGAAUUCCAGGUGUAGCGGUGGAAUGCGUAGAUAUCUGGGAGAACGCCGAAGGCGAAGGCAGCUUGCUGGGUCGGUUCUGACGCUGAGGCACGAAAGCUAGGGGAGCAAACAGGAUUAGAUACCCUGGUAGUCCUAGCCCUAAACGAUGGGCACUUUGUUUCGGGGGCCCUGAUGCCCUCGGAGCCGUAGCUAAUGCGUUAAGUGCCCCGCCUGGGGAGUAUGGUCGCAAGGCUA
This 371-nucleotide ribosomal RNA is filed under the name uncultured bacterium. Its description in RNAcentral is "bacterial SSU rRNA". It matches the Rfam family "Bacterial small subunit ribosomal RNA", at positions 527 to 896 of the family's 1533-position model. The record is from RNAcentral.